CUCUAUAAUACAACAGAUCGGAAAAUUUUUGCUCUGGGAUUUGAAAAAUGAGUGCGAGACUUCAUGUUAUUAAUAUAAUUGGUACUACUGAUAGAAUGUCUGAGCUGAUUGUGCAAGCAGAAUCAAGUCCAGACUUCUAUUAGACAGGUGGUCAUAAACCAACAUCUUUUCUUCUCUUUGAAUGCAGACUCCUAGAAGUUUUAUGAGAUUUCGAUGCUGAAGUUUAGCUGAUAACUUCAUUCUUGAACUCAUCUGGUCCAUGGGGGGGAUUUUUUGACAGCAAUUUCCUGACCCUCCUAGAGCGGUCCCUAAAAUGGUAUUUGUUUUGCGCAAUGCCAGUUUACGAAUGUCGUCUUCCAUUCACUUUUUCACAUUUGACUUCGCAUGACUGAUUCCCAUGGCUAAAGAAUCCCAAUCCAAAGCUUCCGCAAGUUGAAACCAUGAAGAAGUUAUCGAUAAUUUCUGCGCUUGCUUAGAUGGUAGGACGACAAUUCAAUGAUGCAGAUAGGUCAGUUUUAUGGACCACACCAUCAACCUAGAGUGAAGGGAAAUGUAAAAAUGCUGACAGCCGUCCACGGAGAGUUGUGGACAAAUAUGUAAAAGCUGACUAGUCUAUGAUAUCUGGACAAAUUCCCCUUCUCCUUUUCCAGCAAUAUUCAACUGGAAUAAUUAGCUAGUUUUUUCUAUCUAAGUUAGUAUAGAAUAAUUAACCGUUUAGCUUAAAUGAAAAUUCGGCAAUAACUGUGCAUCUGUUAAUGGAAAUUAAUUUAAUUCUUCUGCUGGCGAUACAUUCUGUUAUGCUGGGGUUCCGGCCAUCUUACUUGUGAUUUGGCCUCCUCGGUCACAUUCG
Long non-coding RNA from Olea europaea var. sylvestris, 850 nucleotides. RefSeq lists it as uncharacterized. The transcript has 2 exons. NCBI's taxonomy places the organism in Eukaryota, Viridiplantae, Streptophyta, Magnoliopsida, Lamiales, Oleaceae. The record is from RefSeq and is a predicted model, not a curated record.